AAAUUGAAGAGUUUGAUCAUGGCUCAGAUUGAACGCUGGCGGCAGGCCUAACACAUGCAAGUCGAACGGUAACAGGAAGCAGCUUGCUGCUUUGCUGACGAGUGGCGGACGGGUGAGUAAUGUCUGGGAAACUGCCUGAUGGAGGGGGAUAACUACUGGAAACGGUGGCUAAUACCGCAUAACGUCGCAAGACCAAAGAGGGGGACCUUCGGGCCUCUUGCCAUCAGAUGUGCCCAGAUGGGAUUAGCUUGUUGGUGAGGUAACGGCUCACCAAGGCGACGAUCCCUAGCUGGUCUGAGAGGAUGACCAGCCACACUGGAACUGAGACACGGUCCAGACUCCUACGGGAGGCAGCAGUGGGGAAUAUUGCACAAUGGGCGCAAGCCUGAUGCAGCCAUGCCGCGUGUAUGAAGAAGGCCUUCGGGUUGUAAAGUACUUUCAGCGGGGAGGAAGGUGUUGUGGUUAAUAACCGCAGCAAUUGACGUUACCCGCAGAAGAAGCACCGGCUAACUCCGUGCCAGCAGCCGCGGUAAUACGGAGGGUGCAAGCGUUAAUCGGAAUUACUGGGCGUAAAGCGCACGCAGGCGGUCUGUCAAGUCGGAUGUGAAAUCCCCGGGCUCAACCUGGGAACUGCAUUCGAAACUGGCAGGCUUGAGUCUUGUAGAGGGGGGUGGAAUUCCAGGUGUAGCGGUGAAAUGCGUAGAGAUCUGGAGGAAUACCGGUGGCGAAGGCGGCCCCCUGGACAAAGACUGACGCUCAGGUGCGAAAGCGUGGGGAGCAAACAGGAUUAGAUACCCUGGUAGUCCACGCCGUAAACGAUGUCUACUUGGAGGUUGUGCCCUUGAGGCGUGGCUUCCGGAGCUAACGCGUUAAGUAGACCGCCUGGGGAGUACGGCCGCAAGGUUAAAACUCAAAUGAAUUGACGGGGGCCCGCACAAGCGGUGGAGCAUGUGGUUUAAUUCGAUGCAACGCGAAGAACCUUACCUGGUCUUGACAUCCACGGAAGUUUUCAGAGAUGAGAAUGUGCCUUCGGGAACCGUGAGACAGGUGCUGCAUGGCUGUCGUCAGCUCGUGUUGUGAAAUGUUGGGUUAAGUCCCGCAACGAGCGCAACCCUUAUCCUUUGUUGCCAGCGGUCCGGCCGGGAACUCAAAGGAGACUGCCAGUGAUAAACUGGAGGAAGGUGGGGAUGACGUCAAGUCAUCAUGGCCCUUACGACCAGGGCUACACACGUGCUACAAUGGCGCAUACAAAGAGAAGCGACCUCGCGAGAGCAAGCGGACCUCAUAAAGUGCGUCGUAGUCCGGAUUGGAGUCUGCAACUCGACUCCAUGAAGUCGGAAUCGCUAGUAAUCGUGGAUCAGAAUGCCACGGUGAAUACGUUCCCGGGCCUUGUACACACCGCCCGUCACACCAUGGGAGUGGGUUGCAAAAGAAGUAGGUAGCUUAACCUUCGGGAGGGCGCUUACCACUUUGUGAUUCAUGACUGGGGUGAAGUCGUAACAAGGUAACCGUAGGGGAACCUGCGGUUGGAUCACCUCCUUA
This 1542-nucleotide ribosomal RNA is filed under the name Salmonella enterica. Its description in RNAcentral is "bacterial SSU rRNA". It matches the Rfam family "Bacterial small subunit ribosomal RNA". The record is from RNAcentral. RNAcentral also lists the same sequence under 3 other names. Lineage: Bacteria; Pseudomonadati; Pseudomonadota; Gammaproteobacteria; Enterobacterales; Enterobacteriaceae.